CAAGUCGAGCGAAUCUUUGGGAGCUUGCUCCCAAAAGUUAGCGGCGGACGGGUGAGUAACACGUGGGCAACCUGCCUAUAAGACUGGGAUAACUUCGGGAAACCGGAGCUAAUACCGGAUAAUUCUUUUCUACACAUGUAGGAAAGCUAAAAGACGGUUUACGCUGUCACUUAUAGAUGGGCCCGCGGCGCAUUAGCUAGUUGGUGAGGUAACGGCUCACCAAGGCCACGAUGCGUAGCCGACCUGAGAGGGUGAUCGGCCACACUGGGACUGAGACACGGCCCAGACUCCUACGGGAGGCAGCAGUAGGGAAUCUUCCGCAAUGGACGAAAGUCUGACGGAGCAACGCCGCGUGAGUGAUGAAGGUUUUCGGAUCGUAAAACUCUGUUGUUAGGGAAGAACAAGUACGAGAGUAACUGCUCGUACCUUGACGGUACCUAACCAGAAAGCCACGGCUAACUACGUGCCAGCAGCCGCGGUAAUACGUAGGUGGCAAGCGUUGUCCGGAAUUAUUGGGCGUAAAGCGCGCGCAGGCGGUCCUUUAAGUCUGAUGUGAAAGCCCACGGCUCAACCGUGGAGGGUCAUUGGAAACUGGGGGACUUGAGUGCAGGAGAGAAGAGUGGAAUUCCACGUGUAGUGGUGAAAUGCGUAGAGAUGUGGAGGAACACCAGUGGCGAAGGCGACUCUUUGGCCUGUAACUGACGCUGAGGCGCGAAAGCGUGGGGAGCAAACAGGGAUUAGAUACCCUGGUAGUCCACGCCGUAAACGAUGAGUGCUAAGUGUUAGAGGGUUUCCGCCCUUUAGUGCUGCAGUAAACGCAUUAAGCACUCCGCCUGGGGGAGUACGGCC
This 849-nucleotide ribosomal RNA is filed under the name uncultured Bacillus sp. Its description in RNAcentral is "bacterial SSU rRNA". It matches the Rfam family "Bacterial small subunit ribosomal RNA", at positions 58 to 887 of the family's 1533-position model. Lineage: Bacteria; Bacillati; Bacillota; Bacilli; Caryophanales; Bacillaceae. The record is from RNAcentral.